This 373-nucleotide RNase P RNA is filed under the name zebrafish metagenome. RNAcentral's name for it is "Bacterial RNase P class B". It matches the Rfam family "Bacterial RNase P class B". From Rfam's summary of the family: Ribonuclease P (RNase P) is a ubiquitous endoribonuclease, found in archaea, bacteria and eukarya as well as chloroplasts and mitochondria. Its best characterised activity is the generation of mature 5'-ends of tRNAs by cleaving the 5'-leader elements of precursor-tRNAs. The record is from RNAcentral.
GAGAUAAUCGCUGUACUUUUUAGAAGUGUAGAGGAAAGUCCAUGCUCACACAAACUGUGAUGUUUGUAGUGUUCGUGCUUAGUGAAGACAUAAGCUAAGGCAAAGUUAGAUUUGACGGCAACGAAAUAACCUAAGGUAAAAUACUAUGGUCGAGUAGUUAUAAAGUGCCACAGAGACGAGCGUUUUACGAAAGUGAAACGAUGAAACGUUGGUAAACCCCGCGAGUGAGAAACCCAAAAUUUGGUAGGGGAGUCCGCCUCAAAGGAACUCAGAACGGCGAGGGGAUUAGUAGAAAUACUAAAGAUAAAUGAUUAUCGCUACAGGUACGAGGUGAUAGCCGAUUGGAGUACAGUAGGACAGAACAUGGCUUAUG